CGACGAGGCUGGUGAUUCCAAUCGACACAGAUGCCAUUAUUUCUUCUCCAAUUACAUUGCUAUCCACAGAAAACCCUAGAGAAAUUGAGAACAAUUCAGUGACAUGUAAGAAUCAUCCCCUUCAAACAAAAUUAAUAGUCAUAUGACAAUGACCAAGUGCUGCAAAAAUAAUCUAAUAUCUUUCCCUAGCAAACAAUUCAGUGACAUGUAAG
This 212-nucleotide long non-coding RNA is filed under the name Solanum tuberosum (potato). RNAcentral's name for it is "long non-coding RNA (STUB_LNC000072)". The record is from RNAcentral. Lineage: Eukaryota; Viridiplantae; Streptophyta; Magnoliopsida; Solanales; Solanaceae.